GAAAUUUUCAUCCAUUUCCACAUUGUAGCUAUGGUAGCUGUAAUCAAGAGUGUUUCAAUAAGUUUGUUGAGAUUCAACAAAAAGACUAUGUAUUCAAUAAAAAGACUACGUUUUCAAGUUCUUGAAUGGGUUGAAUGAAACGUAUCAAGCACUUCAGUCACAAAUUAUCCUGAUGAAGCCUUUUCCCUCACUUGAUCAAGUCUAUAAUAUGGUCUUAAGAGAAGAAACUCAGAGA
This 235-nucleotide unclassified non-coding RNA is filed under the name Hevea brasiliensis (rubber tree). The record is from RNAcentral. Lineage: Eukaryota; Viridiplantae; Streptophyta; Magnoliopsida; Malpighiales; Euphorbiaceae.